Molecule: long non-coding RNA, 1020 nt
Organism: Cyprinus carpio (common carp)
Lineage: Eukaryota; Metazoa; Chordata; Actinopteri; Cypriniformes; Cyprinidae
Source: Ensembl
CAGGCUUGAUGCUCCCCAUUGAUCAUCAUCUCAAAGGCUGGUAGUGAUUUUUGCAGGCAGUCCUUAGAGAUAACAGUUAUGUCCUACUGUUAUAUCCAAUGACGCAAAUACAAAACAAAGCAGGCAUUGCAUGGACGUGAGGGCAAAGCAUAAUCACACACACACAGCUUUCUUCCAUCCUGUCAAAGGGUAUUUGUAAGUCACCUGAAGCAUAUUAAAGCAAUUUAAGGAGAGAAACCAAUCACUGAACUCAAUGUCAUUCAAUGUCUCAUGGAGAAUCAGCUCUGUGAAAAAAAAAAAAAAAAAAAACACCUGACAUUCAACCAGCAGUCCAGACAGCCUACAGUACAGCAGUACCUUAAUGACAAAAGAUGCAAUUUUGCAAUCUUCCAAGGCCUCCAUCUGCCACCCCAAGGACUGAUGGGACGCAUAGUGACAUGGUCACCUCCUAAGGCACAUCCGUCUCUCGAGUGCGACAGCCUGUCAAUAUGACUCGAACCAGCUGUCAAUCAAGCUGUCACCCAUCCAGACAUGCAGACACUGUAUUGAAGAAGGGUAGAAACUGAUGAGCGAUGGGGAGUUUGUGUCUCAGGCUGUGAUAAUGAUAACAAGGAUUUUGGGAAGUAUGAUACAUGGAGCAAACAGUUUAGACAUCUGCCCAGCUAAAUUAUAGUUAUUGUCUUGACUGUUAACGAAUAAUACAAGUACAACCAUUAGGGAAAAACUACAAUAGAUUGUAAUGCAUAUUUUUCACAAUAUUUAAUGCAGAAAGCUUUGAGUUUAAUGAGCUAUUAAACGAAUGAAUUAAUAGUCAUAUACUGAAUUCUAAUUGACUGACUAAUCCUUCAUGCUAUAAUUGAGAUAGUUGCAGCUUUCAAGUAACAAACACAAAUUGUUCAUUUUUAGGCUGAUUGUGAUCCCUGUUCUCAAUACAUCCCUGUCCAUACACAAACACAAUCACAUAAGAAACAUCCCAAAAACACAGUGAAGCUUAACAGCUGGGUUCUGGGAGUAAAAAUC